Rhea pennata is the source of this 4808-nucleotide long non-coding RNA. RefSeq lists it as uncharacterized. Lineage: Eukaryota; Metazoa; Chordata; Aves; Rheiformes; Rheidae. The record is from RefSeq and is a predicted model, not a curated record. The transcript has 3 exons.
CGCAAGGGCACUGGAGCAAGCCUGCUCCCAAAGCCAAAAUGCAGCGGGGGCGAAGCGGGCAGCGAGGCCGGGGGCGGCGGGGACCCGGCGCGUUCGGGGGCCUGGGCACCGAAAUCCCGAGGAAACCGCUGCGCCAGAGCACGCGCCUCUGCCGGAGCUAAAAUGCCUCAAAAGGGCAGGCUGGUUUCUCUGGAAGCUGCGUCUGAAAGCAACCGGAGGAAAAAUCGUUCCGACACCGGCAGCAGGUCCCGCUGCGCUCGUGCCAGCGACAGCACUGUGAUUUUCCAGUUCAAACGGGCUUUUCUUUCGUUACUGCCGUAAGCGCUGUCUUCCGUGCAGUACCGUACAGCGACAGGACUUCGGACCGUCUUCAAAACGGGAAAAGCGAGAAUCGGAGCAAGGCACCUAGGGAGAACAUGUCUUUGUGUUGCAAAAACCUUCAGUACUGUUCAGCGCAUAUCUGCAGGCAUCUCCUGAUCGCAGGCAGGAUCGGGAAUGUGAGUGCUGCCAUCUCCCAAGUACGCCCAUCCUCUGGCCAGCUAGGCAGAUUCGCAGAAUUGGGUAAAUUCCAAUUUAUUGGCCAAGAUUGCAAUUCCAGCUGCCUAACCAAACCAAUCUAUCAAAACCUCUAGAACCUCUCUGCCACUACCUCCUUAUGCUCUUCUCGAUCCCAUGCAAGCACCAGUAAUUUACUUUCACUGUAUUUAUUCUUAUAACACUCUAGGGAGGCAGUGAAUUACUAUUAACUUCCUUUUUUAUUCAUCUAGAGGGCUUGUAGCAGGAGGGACCCACAGAGGCACGUUGGUACCCAGCUCCCACCGAGUCCUGUGGGAGGCAGAGCCCUAAUUACCUCUGCUCGUCCCGGGAAACGAGAUUUGCCCGAGGUAGCAGUGCGCGUCUGUGCCCAUAAGGGAAUAGAGCUCAUGUGAAAAUCCAGAACGGAAAACCUUCUCUGCUUAAGAAGUGUGCUGGGACAUGGUAGCUGUCCUAGGGAAGAGUCACAGCCUGGUUUCGUUAAAAAGCUCACAGCUCGCUUGUAUGCCCCCCAGGUGGGCAGUCCCUGCCCUAAACUGCUCCUUUCUUUCCCAUUUCCCCUACCUGAGCGUACUGAAUCCAUAUUGCCACCUCAUGGCAACUGCUGGUUGCUCAGAAGAUUGCUCGUGGCCCACCAGACACCACGUCCAGGUUGCCUGUGUGACGGCACUGCCAGCCCCAGUCUCAGCCCACAGCAGUGGGUCUCGGUGGUGGGAUGCUCAGUGAAAUGGUGCCGACAGUCCCAGUCUGGAGCCUGGCAUCAGCGUCCGGGACAGGCCGACCGGCUCGCGGGGACGGGGCUGUCCCCUGAGGCUGCUUCCCAGCCGUGGAGCUCAGCAACUGUGCUGACCCUGUGGUCCGUCUCAGAACGACUAAGAGCGUAACUUCCCCAACUGCUGUACAGCACAACGAGCGCUGGAGGAGCAACUUCAAAAACACCGACUGUAACUUCUUCCCAGAGAGGCCGGAGAAGUGCAGGCCACUGCUCCUCUGGACAUGGGUUUCUAAGUACUUCCUGGACUUGGAAAGCAAACCUAUAAUUCCCAAUAGCAACAGGAUCUUGUUACCCUACCUCUGUUUUCCAUAUUCAAUAGAUGGCAGCAGGACGUCACUCUCCCGAGCACCAGCCCAGCGCAGGAGUGGAUGACUGGCGUCGCUAGUGCUCUGGGCUCUGGAAGGAACCCGCUUAUCUGGGGGAAGAUCUACCUGCUAUCAAACCUGCUAGUGUCUUUCCUGAUACCACUGAGAGCUCUUUGCAGUGCCCUUUUGACCUUACAGUCUAAAAAAAAGAGAUCUAUCGGUGGAGAGGAUGAGGGCAUCGGCUCUCGAGCCCUCGUCCAGCAGGGUGUGCCACCUCUUGAUCAGCCAAGAGCGACCAGCCGGCUUCCGUAGAUAGGGCACUCGCACCGGGGGGCACUGGUACAGGUUGGCAAGGUGGAUGGGGAAGAGAAAUCACCUUCAGCCAGGCCGGCAAGGGCCUGCACCCCAAGCCGCUGCAGAGCGAGCUGGAUGUGCUCUCUGCACCCACAUCUCAACCUCAGCGUGGAGCGGCGAGGAGGAGCUCGGCGUCUGCUCCUCCAGCGCGGCGGCCAGCGCAGCUCGACGGUCAUGACUCUGAGCUGGGCUUAGGGACAGUUGGUUCCUGCCUGCGCCUUCCUGCAGGGCUCUGCCACUCUCUGCCGUGCUUCCCCGGGGGAAGGCGUCAGUCCGGCUGGCUGCCUGCACGGGAGUUUAGGGAUCCCCAGCCCCACAGAAAUUCAUAGCGUGUGUCUUGGCCUCAUGUUUUACUUUUCUGCUUGUAGACAGAGCAGUGGGGCUAGCUGUGAAACUCUUUUUUUCCUGUUCUGGCUAGAGGAGUCAAGUAAUAUCACAUAAAACAGAUGCUCUGUUCAAAUAGGAAGGGAAUUACCACCACCCGCGUCCACCAGAGGAUACAUCUAAAAACACGCCACCCAUAACAAACACACGGACCUGGUCCUUUUAUCAGCAUUUAUUCAGCAGCCUGUGGAGACCGGCUGCCUUUCUGGAGUCCUUUCCAGGCGGGUAACACCCAGUUCUGAAACUGCCCUGUACUGGGAUCUGGCUUGACUUUUGUGAACCGGCAUCUGCGAGCUGGAAGGGGUCUGUACUGGUAAGGAAAACAGUCCCGCACGGCGGGCGGCCACCACAUCCAUCUACCAGCAACCUGCCUAAUACGCCCAACUCCCCAUUUUUUUUUCUUUUUAAUCUAUCCCUGUCCCUAUUUACCCAUACGAUUUGCAAACACAAACCUGGAAGUUCCCUAGGGGACGGGAUGAAAAACGGAUUAUUCUAGUUGGAGCGGGUCUAGAAAACAGAGCGAUUGUAUCUCUACGUCAAAACCAGAUUUUAACCAGCCACCCUCUACUGCAGAAGGCUUGCCGGGCGCGCGGUGCUCUCCCAGCGGCAGGACGGGCCGAGGAGGUUGACGCGCAGGUUGACGAAGACAGCAGAGCCGAUCCGAGAAAGAAAACCCAGAGACGGACAGCCGGGGCUGCUGGCUUUUCUCCUUCCCGCAGUCCGCUGCCCCGGGCGACGUGCUGCGCGGCAGCAGCUCUUCGCUGCCGGGCGGGCGCCUGGCGUGCCUCGGGGCCGACGCCGGGCCCUCCAGCGAGGAGCUCCUCACCACCGCUUCGGUAAAUACUUUUUGCAGCGGUGCAGUAGCGUCUCCAAGAGCAGCGCUGUUACUUCGUAGCCGUCUCCAACAACAACUCGGAGAGAGCAGCCACAAGACGCGUUAGCAAGAAGCUGCUGCCACUGACCAAAACUUCAGAGAGGCAGGAGCAGAAGUGGGGAGAGAGCAGAAACGGGGACGGAGGCACUGGCCGGAGAGGCUGGCCGCAGCGGGAGUCCGCGGUCGGGUCGGCCGGACCCGCGCGCCCCUUUCGGACGCUUCCCCGGAUUUCUUGCAACCUCAAAAUAGGGAUGUGGAAAUCGUUAGGGAAGGAGAGACUCCUCUCUUCUCGGCUUUGAAAGCAGACCAAAGCUAGCCGGAGGCAAUCGUUACUUAGUACCAAAACUACAUCUCUUGGUUUUGGUUUUUUGUUUUUUUUUUUUUUUUUUCCUGUUGAAACUGUACUUUGAGUAACUGCUGCUGGCCGGCGCCAGGACCUCCAGGGCUUGCUGAUGCAGAGGUAAGCGAGGAAGGAAGGCAGGGUUAGGGAGGAGAGGCGCUGACCCUGAAGCCAGCGGCUCUGCUCGAAUACACGCCGGGCCGCGGAGCCGCACGACGGGAGGACGCAGCCGCAGCGCGGUCUCCGGCGGCGCGGGCCGGCGGGCGCUCUCCUCCGGAGCCGCCUGCGCCCUCUCUGCGGUCAUCGCGGCGGCUUUCCACGCUUCCGCCCGCACCGAUGAACCUGAACGCCUGCGCUGGUGCCAAAAGCCCGGGUCCAGCAGCCAAACCCUCGGAGGGUGUAAAGUGGCCGAGCGCCUGUCACCUCCGGUAGACAGCUCCCGGCCAAAACCUGACCGCUUAUUUACAUGCCCUGCUCUCUUCUGGGCCAUCAGCUGGGGCCGUGCCCAGCGACGCAGCCGAACCCUGUAAGCCGGCGCGGGCCGACGCGAGCCCACGGCGCGCUGCCGAACGGCCCUUUCCUCCGCAGGGCACGCAGGGUCGCCUCGGCCCGCCAGGCCCGAGGGUCGGCGCCGAGGAGACGGGACGGAGCAGCGGAGCAGGGAGCUGGUUAUACUCCUAUAUUGUUAUUGCAUUAACUCUCAGCUGCAGGCGGGGGCACCCCGGCAAGCCCGGCUCCGCGCGGCCAAGGCGAGCACGGCUGACACCGGCGUCACCCAGAGCCUCCGUGCUCGCCCUGCAAGCGUUAAAUGUGUCGGACUAAAGCAUGGCAUCGGCCAUCCCAGCACGAGUUAGCAGUACCAUCGUUAGACACACAGCAGACGUUUCUCUCGGAGUCGUAAAGCAAGGGUGGCAUUUUUAUUAGCUGAGGUUUCCUCCUCUUUUUUUUCCCCUUAUUUUUUACGGCCGUAUCCACAAACGCUGAGAGCUAGAGGGAAUUAUUUGUUACUUACAUGAAAGCAAGAAGCCAUCAGACCACAGUGCUGCAACCGCUCUCCGUAUCAUUAUUUUCUUCUUCUGGAUUUAUAUGAACCUCACGAUUAAACCUUAGCUAAUGCAGACGGCCUUACAACGCACGGAGCGCUAAUAGCUGCUAAGCAGCAUUAUUAAUUAUUGUAAUUACAGCAUGUAAAACAUCUUUUGAUUGCAUGGAAGACUGCAUUAAAGAUCGCACUCGUUCCUG